Non-coding RNA from Spirochaetes bacterium RBG_13_68_11, 71 nucleotides. Lineage: Bacteria; Pseudomonadati; Spirochaetota. The record is from Rfam.
UUCCCGGUAGUGUAACGGUAGCACAAAAGACUCUGGAUCUUUUUGUGGGGGUUCGAAUCCUCCCCGGGAAA